GGGAUUGAAAUUUCCUCAAAUGAACCCGCUUCACGCCUUCUCUCGAGGUCAUGUACAGCUAUUAGUUCAUUCAGCCACUCCGACAUGUACAACAAAACAGAACGGAACAUGUCGUAAAAUAGAACCCUUUACAGCCUUCCGCAUUUUAAUAAGUAAGACUUUGCACUUGGUAUAUCACUCAUUUUUUCAUUAUGACCAAAUGUUACUGGAUUGAUAAACAAUGUCGAUGAAUCUAUUUCCUUGAACAAACUUGAGUCUGAAAGUAAUUCACAGAUACAAUUCAUAAAGCUAUUCACAGAUUUACAGAUUCAUGACGGUACAGAGCAAUACUGGAAAAAAAUAAAUAAAUAAAUAAAAUUGAAACAUUAAAAUAGAGCAAUUCACAACGAUUUUCUCCUGGGUUUUUCAAUAGCUUUCUAAACUUCUUAUGUUCAAUGUAUGUUAAAAAUUAAAAAAUUGUAACGUAACAAUCAACAAAUCAAAAUAACAUAUAAAAAGAAAUGAGAUGACAUCAGGGCCUUCACCUUCUUCUUCUGCUAUUCUCUUGUCUGUUGAAUUUUUGUUGGAAUCGAAGGCAUCUGCCGACUGCUAUCUAGGGCACAAAAAUGAAAAAGAAUGGUAAGAGAUUCCGAUAUUGGAUGAAGGCGGCGACAGGUGAGAGUUCGUGAGAUGUUGAGAAGAGAUUCAGAAGUCAAAUGGAGGAUAUUUCCGUCUGUGUCUUAGUUAUGAAGAGUUUCGAUUGAAU
This 745-nucleotide long non-coding RNA is filed under the name Olea europaea (common olive). RNAcentral's name for it is "long non-coding RNA (OEUR_LNC009035)". The record is from RNAcentral. Lineage: Eukaryota; Viridiplantae; Streptophyta; Magnoliopsida; Lamiales; Oleaceae.